This 468-nucleotide ribosomal RNA is filed under the name uncultured bacterium. RNAcentral describes it as "partial 16S ribosomal RNA". It matches the Rfam family "Bacterial small subunit ribosomal RNA", at positions 28 to 507 of the family's 1533-position model. The record is from RNAcentral.
GACGAACGCUGGCGGCGUGCUUAACACAUGCAAGUCGAACGGAAAGGCCCUGCUUUUGUGGGGUUCUCGAGUGGCGAACGCGUGCGUAACACGUGAGUAACCUGCCCUUCUCUUUGGGAUAACUUCAGGAAACUGGGGCUAAUAUCGUAUAGGAGCUCCUGCUCCAUGGUGGGCGUUGGAUAUUUUCGGCGGUUGGGGAUGGACUCGCGGCUUAUCAGCUUGUUGGUGGGGUAGUGGCUUACCAAGGCUUGGACGGGUAGCCGGCCUGAGAGGGUGACCGGCCACAAUGGGACUGAGAUACGGCCCAGACUCGUACGGGAGGCAACAGUGGGGAAUAUUGCACAGUGGGCGGGAGCCUGAUGCAGCAGCGCCGCGUGCGGGAUGACGGCCUUCGGGUUGUGAACCGCUUUCGCCUGUGACGAAGCGUGAGUGACGGUAAUGGGUAAAGAAGCACCGGCUAACUACGUG